ACUCAAAUGAAUAGACGGGGGCCCGCACAAGCGGCGGAGCAUGUGGCUUAAUUCGAGGCAACGCGAAGAACCUUACCUGGGUUGAACUACGAAGGAAAAGCCGUGGAGACACGGUGUCCGAAAGGGCCUUCGAUAGGUGGUGCAUGGCUGUCGUCAGCUCGUGUCGUGAGAUGUUGGGUUAAGUCCCGCAACGAGCGCAACCCUUUUCCUAUGUUGCCAGCGGGUAAUGCCGGGGACUCGUAGGAGACUGCCGGGGUCAACUCGGAGGAAGGUGGGGAUGAGGUCAAGUCAUCAUGCCCCUUACGCCCAGGGCUGCACACAUGCUACAAUGGCCGGUACAGAGGGCUGCUAUCCCGCGAGGGUGAGCGAAUCCCAAAAAGCCGGUCUCAGUUCGGAUCGCAGUCUGCAACUCGACUGCGUGAAGUCGGAGUCGCUAGUAAUCCCGGAUCAGCAACGCCGGGGUGAAUACGUUCCCGGGCCUUGUACACACCGCCCGU
Molecule: ribosomal RNA, 497 nt
Filed under: uncultured bacterium
Lineage: Bacteria
Description: bacterial SSU rRNA
Rfam family: Bacterial small subunit ribosomal RNA
Source: RNAcentral